CCCUUAGAUGUUCUGGGCUGCACGCGCGCUACACUGAUGCGUUCAACGAGUUUAUGACCUUGCCCGAUAGGGUUGGGUAAUCUUUUUAAAUCGCAUCGUGAUGGGGAUAGAUUAUUGCAAUUAUUAAUCUUCAACGAGGAAUUCCUAGUAAGCGCGAGUCAUCAGCUCGUGCUGAUUACGUCCCUGCCCUUUGUACACACCGCCCGUCGCUCCUACCGAUUGAGCAUUAGGGUGAAAUCUUCGGACCGUGGCAUACUUCUGGCCUAGCCAGUCUUUGUCCGUGGGAGGUCGCUUAAAUCCUGAUGCUUAGAGGAAGUAAAAGUCGUAACA
This 330-nucleotide ribosomal RNA is filed under the name uncultured eukaryote. RNAcentral describes it as "partial 18S ribosomal RNA". It matches the Rfam family "Eukaryotic small subunit ribosomal RNA", at positions 1470 to 1796 of the family's 1831-position model. The record is from RNAcentral.